RNAcentral lists this ribosomal RNA (266 nucleotides) under uncultured bacterium. RNAcentral describes it as "partial 16S ribosomal RNA". It matches the Rfam family "Bacterial small subunit ribosomal RNA", at positions 268 to 523 of the family's 1533-position model. The record is from RNAcentral.
CCAAGGCGACGAUCUGUAGCUGGUCUGAGAGGAUGAUCAGCCACACUGGGACUGAGACACGGCCCAGACUCCUACGGUAGGGCAGCAGUGGGGAAUAUUGCACAAUGGGCGAAAGCCUGAUGCAGCCAUGCCGCGUGUGUGAAGAAGGCUCUAGGGUUGUAAAGCACUUUCAGUGGGGAGGAAAAGUUUCAAAACUAAUAUUUUUUGAACCUUGACGUUACCUGCAGAAGAAGCACCGGCAAACUCCGUGCCAGCAGCCGCGGUAA